This 460-nucleotide ribosomal RNA is filed under the name uncultured bacterium. RNAcentral describes it as "partial 16S ribosomal RNA". It matches the Rfam family "Bacterial small subunit ribosomal RNA", at positions 338 to 795 of the family's 1533-position model. The record is from RNAcentral.
CCUACGGGGAGCAGCAGUGAGGAAUAUUGGUCAAUGGACGAGAGUCUGAACCAGCCAAGUAGCGUGAAGGAUGACUGCCCUAUGGGUUGUAAACUUCUUUUAUAUGGGAAUAAAAUGUUCCACGUGUGGGAUUUUGUAUGUACCAUAUGAAUAAGGAUCGGCUAACUCCGUGCCAGCAGCCGCGGUAAUACGGAGGAUCCGAGCGUUAUCCGGAUUUAUUGGGUUUAAAGGGAGCGUAGGUGGAUUGUUAAGUGAGUUGUGAAAGUUUGCGGCUCAACCGUAAAAUUGCAGUUGAAACUGGCAGUCUUGAGUACAGUAGAGGUGGGCGGAAUUCGUGGUGUAGCGGUGAAAUGCUUAGAUAUCACGAAGAACUCCGAUUGCGAAGGCAGUUCACUGGACUGCAACUGACACUGAGGCUCGAAAGUGUGGGUAUCAAACAGGAUUAGAUACCCUAGUAGUC